This 484-nucleotide ribosomal RNA is filed under the name uncultured bacterium. RNAcentral describes it as "partial 16S ribosomal RNA". It matches the Rfam family "Bacterial small subunit ribosomal RNA", at positions 30 to 507 of the family's 1533-position model. The record is from RNAcentral.
AUUGAACGCUGGCGGCAGGCCUAACACAUGCAAGUCGAGCGGAUGAAGGGAGCUUGCUCCUGGAUUCAGCGGCGGACGGGUGAGUAAUGCCUAGGAAUCUGCCUGGUAGUGGGGGAUAACGUCCGGAAACGGGCGCUAAUACCGCAUACGUCCUGAGGGAGAAAGUGGGGGAUCUUCGGACCUCACGCUACCAGAUGAGCCUAGGUCGGAUUAGCUAGUUGGUGGGGUAAAGGCCUACCAAGGCGACGAUCCGUAACUGGUCUGAGAGGAUGAUCAGUCACACUGGAACUGAGACACGGUCCAGGCUCCUACGGGAGGCAGCAGUGGGGAAUAUUGGACAAUGGGCGAAAGCCUGAUCCAGCCAUGCCGCGUGUGUGAAGAAGGUCUUCGGAUUGUAAAGCACUUUAAGUUGGGAGGAAGGGCAGUAAGUUAAUACCUUGCUGUUUUGACGUUACCAACAGAAUAAGCACCGGCUAACUUCGUG